GACGAACGCUGGCGGCGUGCCUAAUACAUGCAAGUCGAGCGGACAGAUGGGAGCUUGCUCCCUGAUGUUAGCGGCGGACGGGUGAGUAACACGUGGGUAACCUGCCUGUAAGACUGGGAUAACUCCGGGAAACCGGGGCUAAUACCGGAUGGUUGUUUGAACCGCAUGGUUCAGACAUAAAAGGUGGCUUCGGCUACCACUUACAGAUGGAUCCGCGGCGCAUUAGCUAGUUGGUGAGGUAACGGCUCACCAAGGCGACGAUGCGUAGCCGACCUGAGAGGGUGAUCGGCCACACUGGGACUGAGACACAGCCCAGACUCCUACGGGAGGCAGCAGUAGGGAAUCUUCCGCAAUGGACGAAAGUCUGACGGAGCAACGCCGCGUGAGUGAUGAAGGUUUUCGGAUCGUAAAGCUCUGUUGUUAGGGAAGAACAAGUGCCGUUCGAAUAGGGCGGCACCUUGACGGUACCUAACCAGAAAGCCACGGCUAACUACGUGCCAGCAGCCGCGGUAAUACGUAGGUGGCAAGCGUUGUCCGGAAUUAUUGGGCGUAAAGGGCUCGCAGGCGGUUUCUUAAGUCUGAUGUGAAAGCCCCCGGCUCAACCGGGGAGGGUCAUUGGAAACUGGGGAACUUGAGUGCAGAAGAGGAGAGUGGAAUUCCACGUGUAGCGGUGAAAUGCGUAGAGAUGUGGAGGAACACCAGUGGCGAAGGCGACUCUCUGGUCUGUAACUGACGCUGAGGAGCGAAAGCGUGGGGAGCGAACAGGAUUAGAUACCCUGGUAGUCCACGCCGUAAACGAUGAGUGCUAAGUGUUAGGGGGUUUCCGCCCCUUAGUGCUGCAGCUAACGCAUUAAGCACUCCGCCUGGGGAGUACGGUCGCAAGACUGAAACUCAAAGGAAUUGACGGGGGCCCGCACAAGCGGUGGAGCAUGUGGUUUAAUUCGAAGCAACGCGAAGAACCUUACCAGGUCUUGACAUCCUCUGACAAUCCUAGAGAUAGGACGUCCCCUUCGGGGGCAGAGUGACAGGUGGUGCAUGGUUGUCGUCAGCUCGUGUCGUGAGAUGUUGGGUUAAGUCCCGCAACGAGCGCAACCCUUGAUCUUAGCUGCCAGCAUUCAGUUGGGCACUCUAAGGUGACUGCCGGUGACAAACCGGAGGAAGGUGGGGAUGACGUCAAAUCAUCAUGCCCCUUAUGACCUGGGCUACACACGUGCUACAAUGGACAGAACAAAGGGCAGCGAAACCGCGAGGUUAAGCCAAUCCCACAAAUCUGUUCUCAGUUCGGAUCGCAGUCUGCAACUCGACUGCGUGAAGCUGGAAUCGCUAGUAAUCGCGGAUCAGCAUGCCGCGGUGAAUACGUUCCCGGGCCUUGUACACACCGCCCGUCACACCACGAGAGUUUGUAACACCCGAAGUCGGUGAGGUAACCUUUAUGGAGCCAGCCGCCGAAGGUGGGACAGAUGAUUGGGGUG
Molecule: ribosomal RNA, 1472 nt
Filed under: Bacillus subtilis
Lineage: Bacteria; Bacillati; Bacillota; Bacilli; Caryophanales; Bacillaceae
Description: bacterial SSU rRNA
Rfam family: Bacterial small subunit ribosomal RNA
Source: RNAcentral